This 266-nucleotide ribosomal RNA is filed under the name Clostridioides difficile. RNAcentral's name for it is "partial 23S ribosomal RNA". It matches the Rfam family "Bacterial large subunit ribosomal RNA", at positions 2485 to 2750 of the family's 2925-position model. The record is from RNAcentral. Lineage: Bacteria; Bacillati; Bacillota; Clostridia; Peptostreptococcales; Peptostreptococcaceae.
AUCUCCCCCAAGAGUCCACAUCGACGGGGAGGUUUGGCACCUCGAUGUCGGCUCAUCACAUCCUGGGGCUGUAGUAGGUCCCAAGGGUUGGGCUGUUCGCCCAUUAAAGUGGUACGCGAGCUGGGUUAAGAACGUCGUGAGACAGUUCGGUCCCUAUCCGUCGCAGGCGUAGGAAAUUUGAGAAGACCUGUCCUUAGUACGAGAGGACCGGGAUGGACGUACCUCUGGUGUACCAGUUGUCCUGCCAAGGGCAUGGCUGGGUAGCU